Molecule: ribosomal RNA, 456 nt
Filed under: uncultured bacterium
Lineage: Bacteria
Description: bacterial SSU rRNA
Rfam family: Bacterial small subunit ribosomal RNA
Source: RNAcentral
AGGACACGGCUGGCGGCGUGCCUCAUACAUGCAAGUCGAGCGGAUGCAGCAAUGCAUUAGCGGCGGACGGGUGAGUAACACGUGGGCAACCUGGCCUUAAGAGGGGGAUAACGUUCCGAAAGGGACGCUAAUACCGCGUAAAUCAGCGAAAUCGCAUGAUUUUGUUGGAAAAGGAGAAAUCCGCUUAAGGAUGGGCCCGCGGCCUAUUAGCUAGUUGGUAGGGUAACGGCCUACCAAGGCGACGAUAGGUAGCCGACCUGAGAGGGUGAACGGCCACACUGGAACUGAGAAACGGUCCAGACUCCUACGGGAGGCAGCAGUAGGGAAUAUUCCGCAAUGGGCGAAAGCCUGACGGAGCAACGCCGCGUGAGUGAAGAAGGUCUUCGGAUCGUAAAGCUCUGUCAACAGGGACGAAACAAGACGGUACCUGAGAAGGAAGCCACGGCAAACUACGUG